This is a long non-coding RNA of Acanthochromis polyacanthus (spiny chromis), 1974 nucleotides long. RefSeq lists it as uncharacterized. The record is from RefSeq and is a predicted model, not a curated record. The transcript is spliced from 3 exons. Lineage: Eukaryota; Metazoa; Chordata; Actinopteri; Pomacentridae.
AUUAUAUAUUUUUAUAUUAUAUAUUUUUUCCUACCGAGCCCCGGAAGGGACAUGUCCGUAUGGCGAAGCGACAAUGGAGGACACUCACCCGGACGAGAAUUUUAUUGAGUUUUAUUUUGAAAUCGGCCUGAAAUACACAGACAUUCAAGCAGUGCGAGCCCUUUAAGGUUUGGGCAAUUUCCGCCCGAAAUUUCUACUGAGAUUUACAGAAAGUAAAUUGAAUGCUGUUCUUGAACUGUUUGGAGUACAUGCAUGGUUGGGGUCUCAUUUGAAAGCUGACAACCUGAAUUUUCACCCAGUGCAGUCAGAAUUACUCUAGGUGCUACUGGCACAGAGUAUUUCAUGUUGGCACACACUGAAUUAGGAUGAAUUUUUUUCUCGCCUACAUUUUUUCCCUAAUAAAACACCUGAAAAUCAGUGUGGCAGCACUGUAAGAGCUUGAAAACACAAUAUUGCAAAAGCCUGGGGUCUUACAUAGUUCAGGUCAAAAUUUCAGAGCAAUACUACAAGAAAUGAGUGUUUCACACAUGUAUUUGUACUGAUAUGCUCCGCCCCUGUCAAUGUUGGAUGCAAUCUUUAUACACUGUGCACACUCUUUACAGAAUGAUAUAAAUUUAUUUUCACUUCAUUUUCACAUUAUUUUCAUUCCAAAAACUCAUAAAGAACUCAAAAAAUCACUUCAGAUAGGCUUCAGUGUCGAUCACACACACAGAUUGAGAGGAAUACAGAGAAACAGCAGGUGGAGCCCGGAGCUCACGAAUGAAAUAUCAUAUAAAGCCGCUGGCAGAGGCGGGAUUUAUAUUCAAGCCAUUCAGCAAGCUCAUUGGCUACCAGGCCUGUCAAUCUAACGGUUCCUCCGGCGUGAUUUGCUGAGAAACAAGUCAAUCAAGUGAUGUAAUCGAUAUCUGUCAGACGCGGCCAUGGUUGGCUAAAUCGCCGAAGUAGGCGGAAACGAGUCACCUGAUUGGUUGAAGUCCGGUUUGAAGCGGUCGAGAAGCGUUCAGUAUCCAUUUUGAAUGGAACAAAGAACAAAGAAAAUAGGACCGUGUAUGAUAAAGUUAUAAUAGAAAGAUGCAGUGAAUAUGAAACGCACAGCGCCACCACGCGCCGCGUGCACGCGCACGGAGCCGAUCGUUUUCUGGAUUUUUUACCUAUUUCGAGACAUGUUUUGGCCAAAGUAUUAUACUGGAUUGUUUCCUCUGGAUGGCUAAGCUUGGGUUCUGGCCAGUUUUUGUGGAUUAUCUUCUUUUAUGACCAGAAACGAGCGUCCAAACUGCGUCGACAGGUGAGCUGUGCACGUUUACAUGACUUGUUGUUUGUUGGAUAAAUGUGUUUAUAUUACCCGCUGUGGUAAUCACAUCUGAAAGUGGUUUAUACCGGCGGAUUCAUGAGAAUCUCAGCUUUCUAUGUGUGUAUAGUGUUUGUAUAAUCGUGUUUGCAGUGUCCUUCUAUUUCAAAAAAGCGUAUACCGAUAAAAAAACGGCCCGCCCGCGGGCCGCCGUACUUUAACGGGCUAAGAGUCUGCCAUGCAGACCAGCGAUCCUGAUAAUGUUGUCGGCCUUGGAUGAUGAGGUCCAGUUACCAGGAGCACUAGUCUGCAGCUUACUGGUUCCGUCCUGCAGCUCCUCCACGCUGUCCUCCUCUCUUCAGACCAAAUCAAGAAAAGGGAACCAGGAAGCUGCUGUGGAUCCUCUGCAGUAUCUGGAGAGGUCAGAGGAACGGUUCUUGGAACAGAUCGGAAGACACCAAGACGUGACCUCUGCCAUUCUCCAGAACAUCCAGAAGAUGAAUGAAAACCUUGGUUGCACUGAUGGGACGCAUGGUGUCGGUGCUGGAGCAACUGUCCCAGAAUUAAACUGCAUUGUUGACUAUUGGCUUUUCUAGAAAAUAAAUCUUUUUUAGUACUUCACCUGUUUUGUAUUUUACCCAUGCACUUUGGGUGAAUAAACAGAAAUUUGUGAUGAGAGAUGCAAA